AUGGCCAGUUUCCAGAUUACACCAUUCGCUGGACUCUUGGAGAACACCGAGUUUAACUUCCAUAGCUUGUACUUGCACAACAUUUCUUCUGGACCAAACCCAACCAGAGGAGCCAUAAUAAACGACAACGCUAUCAAUGGGUGGGGCCAGCCAUUCGUUGUCGACUGGACAAUAUAUGAUGGCACUGGCCAUGGCGCGAAGCUAGUCGGUCGUGCCCAAGGCCAGCAAAUCUAUGCUAGUAAAUGGAGUCAUUCCGUCACCCUUGAGUUCACGAAUGGAAGGUUUAAGGGCUCCACGCUCCAGUUAAUGGGACUCUCAGCAACGUUUGAGCAACCAAGUGAGUGGUCUAUCACUGGCGGGACAGGUGAUCUUGCGAUGGCGCGUGGUAUAGUCAAGGUGAAAUUCCAUGAAAUGGUAGAGGAUGGUGACACGUGGGAGCUUAGCUUCCAUGGAUUUUGCAGCAUGCAGAGCUUGCCCACUCUCACAAAGGCUGGCCCAUGGGGUGGACAUGGUGGUUCAGGUACGGACUCAGAACAGCCAUGGCGCAUAGAAAGUAUGACCAUCGUCCAUGAGGGGACAAUUGCCAAGUAUUCAUGCACUUACGUUGACCUGUCCGGAAAGAGGCGCACCACGGGUUCUUGGGGUGGUGGUAAUGGUAUCCCCACAAAGGUCCAGCUGGGGCCUCGGGAGAUUUUGAAAGCCGUGUCUGGAACACAUGUCUGCCUUAACAAUGGACAGACUGUUAUUGAGUCACUGAAGUUUGUCACGAACGAAGGAACAUACGGACCAUUUGGACAUACAACCGGCACGCCCUUCAAAGCUAAUGUGCCGGAAGACCAAAGCAUCGUUGGCUUCUUUGGCCGUGCAGACGAUAUGCAACUCAUCGCGUUUGGUAUUUACACGGUUUGA
This 909-nucleotide ribosomal RNA is filed under the name Triticum aestivum (bread wheat). RNAcentral describes it as "partial small subunit ribosomal RNA". The record is from RNAcentral. Lineage: Eukaryota; Viridiplantae; Streptophyta; Magnoliopsida; Poales; Poaceae.